GCAGAACGCGAAGAACCUUACCUGGCCUUGACAUCCUAGGAAUCCCGAAGAGAUUUGGGAGUGCCGCAAGGAACCUAGAGACAGGUGCUGCAUGGCUGUCGUCAGCUCGUGUCGUGAGAUGUUGGGUUAAGUCCCGCAACGAGCGCAACCCUUGUCCUUAGUUGCCAUCAUUCAGUUGGGAACUCUAAGGAGACCGCCGGUGACAAACCGGAGGAAGGUGGGGAUGACGUCAAGUCAUCAUGGCCUUUAUGGCCAGGGCUACACACGUGCUACAAUGGCAGGUACAGAGGGAAGCCAACCGGCGACGGGGAGCUAAUCCCAGAAAGCCUGUCUUAGUCCGGAUUGCAGUCUGCAACUCGACUGCAUGAAGCCGGAAUCGCUAGUAAUCGCAGAUCAGCAUUGCUGCGGUGAAUACGUUCCCGGGUCUUGUACACACCG
Molecule: ribosomal RNA, 438 nt
Filed under: uncultured bacterium
Lineage: Bacteria
Description: bacterial SSU rRNA
Rfam family: Bacterial small subunit ribosomal RNA
Source: RNAcentral